UUUUCGGAGAGUUUGAUCCUGGCUCAGGACGAACGCUGGCGGCGUGCCUAAUACAUGCAAGUCGAGCGAACAGAAGGGAGCUUGCUCCCGGAUGUUAGCGGCGGACGGGUGAGUAACACGUGGGUAACCUGCCUGUAAGACUGGGAUAACUCCGGGAAACCGGAGCUAAUACCGGAUAGUUCCUUGAACCACAUGGUUCAAGGAUGAAAGACGGUUUCGGCUGUCACUUACAGAUGGACCCGCGGCGCAUUAGCUAGUUGGUGGGGUAAUGGCUCACCAAGGCGACGAUGCGUAGCCGACCUGAGAGGGUGAUCGGCCACACUGGGACUGAGACACGGCCCAGACUCCUACGGGAGGCAGCAGUAGGGAAUCUUCCGCAAUGGACGAAAGUCUGACGGAGCAACGCCGCGUGAGUGAUGAAGGUUUUCGGAUCGUAAAGCUCUGUUGUUAGGGAAGAACAAGUGCGAGAGUAACUGCUCGCACCUUGACGGUACCUAACCAGAAAGCCACGGCUAACUACGUGCCAGCAGCCGCGGUAAUACGUAGGUGGCAAGCGUUGUCCGGAAUUAUUGGGCGUAAAGGGCUCGCAGGCGGUUUCUUAAGUCUGAUGUGAAAGCCCCCGGCUCAACCGGGGAGGGUCAUUGGAAACUGGGAAACUUGAGUGCAGAAGAGGAGAGUGGAAUUCCACGUGUAGCGGUGAAAUGCGUAGAGAUGUGGAGGAACACCAGUGGCGAAGGCGACUCUCUGGUCUGUAACUGACGCUGAGGAGCGAAAGCGUGGGGAGCGAACAGGAUUAGAUACCCUGGUAGUCCACGCCGUAAACGAUGAGUGCUAAGUGUUAGGGGGUUUCCGCCCCUUAGUGCUGCAGCUAACGCAUUAAGCACUCCGCCUGGGGAGUACGGUCGCAAGACUGAAACUCAAAGGAAUUGACGGGGGCCCGCACAAGCGGUGGAGCAUGUGGUUUAAUUCGAAGCAACGCGAAGAACCUUACCAGGUCUUGACAUCCUUUGACAACCCUAGAGAUAGGGCUUUCCCUUCGGGGACAGAGUGACAGGUGGUGCAUGGUUGUCGUCAGCUCGUGUCGUGAGAUGUUGGGUUAAGUCCCGCAACGAGCGCAACCCUUGAUCUUAGUUGCCAGCAUUCAGUUGGGCACUCUAAGGUGACUGCCGGUGACAAACCGGAGGAAGGUGGGGAUGACGUCAAAUCAUCAUGCCCCUUAUGACCUGGGCUACACACGUGCUACAAUGGACAGAACAAAGGGCUGCGAGACCGCAAGGUUUAGCCAAUCCCAUAAAUCUGUUCUCAGUUCGGAUCGCAGUCUGCAACUCGACUGCGUGAAGCUGGAAUCGCUAGUAAUCGCGGAUCAGCAUGCCGCGGUGAAUACGUUCCCGGGCCUUGUACACACCGCCCGUCACACCACGAGAGUUUGCAACACCCGAAGUCGGUGAGGUAACCUUUAUGGAGCCAGCCGCCGAAGGUGGGGCAGAUGAUUGGGGUGAAGUCGUAACAAGGUAGCCGUAUCGGAAGGUGCGGCUGGAUCACCUCCUUUCU
RNAcentral lists this ribosomal RNA (1551 nucleotides) under Bacillus pumilus. RNAcentral describes it as "bacterial SSU rRNA". It matches the Rfam family "Bacterial small subunit ribosomal RNA". Lineage: Bacteria; Bacillati; Bacillota; Bacilli; Caryophanales; Bacillaceae. The record is from RNAcentral.